RNAcentral lists this ribosomal RNA (492 nucleotides) under uncultured bacterium. RNAcentral's name for it is "partial 16S ribosomal RNA". It matches the Rfam family "Bacterial small subunit ribosomal RNA", at positions 29 to 507 of the family's 1533-position model. The record is from RNAcentral.
AGUGAACGCUGGCGGUAGGCCUAACACAUGCAAGUCGAACGGCAGCACAGUAAGAGCUUGCUCUUACGGGUGGCGAGUGGCGGACGGGUGAGGAAUACAUCGGAAUCUACUUUUUCUUGGGGGAUAACGUAGGGAAACUUACGCUAAUACCGCAUACGACCUACGGGUGAAAGCAGAGGAGAUUCGGACCUUGCGCGAUUGAAUGAGCCGAUGUCGGAUUAGCUAGUUGGCGGGGUAAAGGCCCACCAAGGCGACGAUCCGUAGCUGGUCUGAGAGGAUGAUCAGCCACACUGGAACUGAGACACGGUCCAGACUCCUACGGGAGGCAGCAGUGGGGAAUAUUGGACAAUGGGCGAAAGCCUGAUCCAGCCAUACCGCGUGGGUGAAGAAGGUCUUCGGGUUGUAAAGCCCUUUUGUUGGGAAAGAAAAGAAGCAGGUGAAACCCUCGCCGUUCUGACGGUACCCAAAGAAUAAGCCCCGGCUAACUUCGUG